UGGCUAAAUGCCGGUAAGGGGAGGCGUCUGAGUCUUUGAUGAUGAACUCUCGGGUCUGGAACUCUGAGGCCCAA
Suricata suricatta (meerkat) is the source of this 74-nucleotide small nucleolar RNA. The record is from Ensembl. Lineage: Eukaryota; Metazoa; Chordata; Mammalia; Carnivora; Herpestidae.